Vicia villosa (hairy vetch) is the source of this 4377-nucleotide RNA transcript. RefSeq lists it as uncharacterized. NCBI's taxonomy places the organism in Eukaryota, Viridiplantae, Streptophyta, Magnoliopsida, Fabales, Fabaceae. The record is from RefSeq and is a predicted model, not a curated record. The transcript is spliced from 8 exons.
CAUACGCAAUUAAUGGAUACAAAUGCUCCACCUGAUACUGAAGCAAAAGAAGUUGCACGAGGCAUCACCAUUAUGAAGGGAAUCAUUCGACAUAGAGACCAAGGAUUAGUAUACCGAUUGGAAUGGAAUUCUGAAAAUCAAGCAAUUGGUCCUAAUUCUGCAAAGUUGACAAGUUAUAUUGGUACACUUGUUCGUAUGCAUAUUCUGGUCUCCGUAGAUAAAUGGAAUAUGAAAAGUUUAAAGUUGGAUGCGAAAAAAAAAGCGAUUUGGGACGAGCUUCAGAGGACUUUUGAGAUACCAGAUGAUCGUAGACGCUACAUACUUAGUUUGGCCGGCAAAAGAUAUAGAGGGUGGAAAGCUUUUUUGACAAACACCUAUCUUAAGGAUAAAGAUGGAAACUUUCUUGAAGAGGCACCGGGACGGCCAAAAAAGUAUGAGAUCUUCAUUGGUGAAAAAGAUUGGGCUGAGUUUGUAAAGCAAAGAGAUGAAGACUUUCGGAAAAGGAGUGCCACGAAUAGUGCGAGAGCAUCAAAACCCGCGUAUCCAUACAAAAAAGGGCGUUUGGGAUAUGCACGCUUAGAUGAUAAAAUUUUAGAGGAGACUAAAAGUGAGGAACCUUCACUUCCUGUACAUGUGUUGUGGAAGGAAGCUCGUGUGGGCAAGAAUCAAGCUGUCGAUCCCGAUGUUCAGAGAGUUUAUACUGAAUGUGAGACCUUGUCGCAAUCGGUAUCCACCAGUGAGGGAAGCGUACUUAGUAGAGCACUAGAUGCUCCUGAGUAUCCCGGUCGGGUGAGGGGUAAGGGUCAUGGUGUGACUCCAACUUCUUUUUACAAGAGUCCUAGGAGAAGAUCAAAUCUUACCAAUGAAGAAGUGUUGCAAAAGUUGCAGGAAUUGCAAGCACAAGUCUCUGAAUUGCAAAGAGAUAAAGAGAUGUAUAUGAGAGAAAAGUGCAACACUUCAUCGGUGAAAGAAACUAGUGAUAAGGCUAGUAUCAACUGUCAAAGGAAAUUUCCCGAGGGCAUUUCAUCUUGCCAACUAUACUUAUCGGCACCGAAUUAUCGACUAGUUGGCAAGGGAAAAGUGCACAACACUUUGGGAGAUUUACUUCACCAUAGACCGCUCCCGGAUGGACACCUGAAAGUAUCGGUGGAUGUUGUAGUAGAUCAUGAUGCGAUGCUAUCGGUACCUGACAUGGUCUCAGAGACGACAUUGCUGCGAGAUGCAAUAGGAUCAUUUGUUGAAUGGCCCUCGGAGCUCAUUACCAUUAGUGAUGAGACUGCUCCUAUAAAACCCGCAAUUAAGGGUACAGGGAUUUUACAGGAGGAUGAGUCUGUUGCAUCACUAAAAGAGGCAUCCGCUCGGGACUCACAAUAAGUGACGCAGCAAGUUCGUAGCGUACCACCCACUGGUCCUCCGAAGCCAGCGGCAAAAAAAGGCGGUGCUUUUGUGCCUCGAUACCGGUCGACGCUCGCAACAAUGAUUGAUAUGUCUGAUUUGAAGGAUGGUGCUUUACGUGAAAUCAAUAUGGAUGAAAGUGUCUUCGGUAUUGAAUUCAAUUCACUUAUUACAAUUGAUGACUUGGAAGAGAUUUUUAGGCAUGAUCAACUAGGCGUCAGUAAUAUGCACUCAUACAUCCGGUUGUUGUAUGACAGAGUGUUGCGCGGGACUCCAUUGUCUAACAGAAUCUGUUUCGUGUCUGUAGCAACCUGCCUAAAAUUUUAACUUAGAGAGUCGCCACCUAUUCUGAAGGGCGAAUAGGAAACCCUACGCAGUAUAGAGAUCAGGGUAAGUUACUAUAUUCAGGUCGAGGGAAGGUGUUAGGCACCCUCAACCCUUUCCUAUUGGCUUUGAAUCUAAGGCAAAGGUUUGAUGGCUAAGAGUAUUAAGGUAAGGAAAUGAAUAAGGGGGAAAGUUGAGAUUUUAGGGUGGGGGACUCGCCUUGUUGCCAAGUGCCUACGUACCUCCUUAUGGAGGAUCAGAGUCUACGUAGUUCGGGCACAGGAUUGUACGCCUUAGAAUUGAAUUUGAUUAUGGAAGUGUUUGAAGUUAUUUUGAAGUUGUUUUGAAAUGCGAAGUUCGAAGGUAUUUUGAAUUACCUUAUCGUAGUUGUGAACAUCGCAGUGUUUGAAGGGAUGUAAAUCCAUAGUAUCGUGGUUUAGUGUUUUAGAUGUGGUUUUGGGCGUACAACCCUGCUUUAAUAUGGCACUGUUAGAUGCGGUGAUCAAUAGAUUUGAUCAGUAUAGCUAACAGAUUAAUGGGCAUUGCUGGUUACUCAGAUCGAUAGAUUGAUCGUCGCGGGCAGCAAAUUGAAUGUGUUUUAAUUUUGUAUUUUUUAUCUCUUGUCUAAUGCGACCAAUAGCUUUAGUCGGGUCGAGGAGAGAAUUGAAUAAGAGUUAAUGUUUUAUUGUUUUAUCUCUCGUCUAAUGCGACUAAUAGCUUUAGUCGGGUCGAGGAGAGAAUUAUUCAAGAAUUAAUCGAAUUAAUAUUCUUGCCAAAUGGCAAUGGGAUCGGGCAAACCCUAAUGCAUAUUACCUUUAUAGGGUUUUUAUUGUGAUUUUUUUAAUAAUUAAAAUGGAUUAAAACAAAUUACUCGAAUAAUCGGAAAAAUAAUCGGGGAAAUAAUUCUAAGUCCUAAUUAUAAUCCUAAUUGUAUUGUUAAUAUGAUUUCAAAAAUAAAUUAUGUGUAUGAUAAUAAUAAUGGUUAAAAAACCAAUUAGAAUCAUAUAAACAAUAUGGCAAAAAAUGAAAUAAAAUAAAUAAUAGAUGAAACCUGGGUAUGAUUCAGUAUGACGCGCUUUGGGAGGGUCCACCGUGAGCUUGCAGCCUGGGACGUUAGACCAUGAUCUGGGCACGAUCCAGUGGCUGCUUGGUGAGGGUGUGUGGUAGGAACACGCACGCUAGAAUCACUGGAUCGGAAGGCAUAUGUUAACAAAGAAACUAAGAAAAAUAUAUGUUGGACGCUGGGAUCGAACCCAGGUCCCUUUGAUCCCCAGUUUCUCUCCAAAGCCAUACGGGCUACGUUGGUUUGUUGUUACUAACAUAACUUCAAUACAAAAUAUACUAAAAUACGAAUGAACCAACACUAAAAAAAAGAAACGCGCGGUACUGUUCUCCAUCUUCACCAAUUUUCUGGAAACGAAACCAGACCUUUAGCGAUGGUUUUCCUUAGUGUAGCUACAAAGCCUGCAAGUUCCAAAAUAAACAAUAUGCAAUAGAAAUUAAAAGUGAGAGCAUGGUUCAAUUCGUUUCGGUCCUCUGAAUUUAUUGGUGAUAUUCUUUUGGUCCAAUUUUGCCUGGAUUUUAAAACCCCAAUUCGAAGCUUAGAACCCUAGCCAUGGCGGAUUCCUCUGUGUACGUUCAACGUCCAAUUAAACUACUCAGAUACCUUGCAAACAUCGACCUGAACACAAUUACGCAUUUAAAUCACGUUAAAACUGCAUGAUUAUCGAAAUCGAAUGUAAAAAAUAUCACCAAACCGUGAAUGCCAUGGCCAUGAUUCUGGGCACUUUCAUGUGUUGCAAAUUGCUGGGAUUAAUCAGAGAGCACCGGGGGACAUGUUAGAAUGCCUUGUUUGGUUUUUGUCCGAUUAGAACCAUGACUGCAAAUUGUUGUUUGACGUGAAAUUUUUUUUGUUCUUGAGUCCGAUUCUGCAGCGGCCAAAUCCCCCCUCUGUAUGCAAUUGUUAGUUUCUUAUAUAUCAUUCCAUUAGGUCAACAAAAAUCAAUCCAAAUCCUUUGUAAUUGAAUAAUCAAGAUUUGAUUUUCAGGGAUUCCAAACUUACCAUUCUUGAUCCCUUCUUUCGCGUUUCUUAAAAGCUCCCUUUUUUAUUUUUCCGUGAUUUUUUGUAUUUACUUAAUAUCUUAAUCAAAUAAUUACAAACUAAAAUAAUAAUUGACAACUAAGCUUUGAUAAUUCUAAUCCUAAUAAAAUAGUUAGUAAUAAUAUUUAAUACUAAUAAUUCUAAUACUAAUUACUAAUAAUAAUAGUUAAUAAUAAUAAAACUAAUUAUUGUUACUAAUAAUAAUAGUUAAUAAUAAUAAAACUAAUGAUAAUUAUAAAACUAAUAAUACAAAACACUAACAAAUCAUAGUUAGUAACAAUGAAAUUAAUAGUAAUAAUAUUAUGAGAAAUAAUAAAAAGAAUAAUAAAAAUGAUUAAAUGAAUAGAACAAAAUGGGCCCAAAGCAAAUUGGCUCCCGAAUACUUGCUACUCACACCUCCAUUUUAUUUUAACCGGUUUAUAAGGGAAUUUUAUAAGAGAUCGAGUUUAAUAAUAGAUAUAUUAAACCCUAUGGCUCUUAAUUUUUAACACCCUUAAUAAAUCAACAAAAUGUAAAUUAUAUCGGGUAAAUUUUGGGGUAUGACAGUGUCUUCCGCC